CUAAUGAAAUGAAAAUUUCUUAUAUACAUAAAGUUUUAUUGAAAAGAUAAAGAGUCAUUUUUGAUCUUGUACAUAUGCUAUUUACAACUAGGCACAAUAUAUAGAUAUGUGUGGAUGUGCGCCUAGUUCAAUAUCUAGAGAGAACGCUGAAAAGAUAAAGAGUCGUUUUUGAUCUCGUACAUAUACUAUUUACAACUAGGCACAAUAUAUAGAUAUGUGUGGAUGUGCGCCUAGUUCAAUAUCUAGAGAGAACGCUAGAAUCUCUCUUUCUCUCUCCCUCUCUCCCUCUCUCUCCCUCUCCCUAAUUUCAUGCGAUCGGGUGGAUAACGACCUUUCCGGUGACUCGACCGGUCUGGAGAUACGAGAACGCUUCGGGAGCCUGAGAAAAUGGGAAUGUGCCUUUGGGGUCAAUCACUGGCUUUAUUUUCUGGCUCUCCAGGAAGGGAUUGAGUUUCUCCAAGACUGAGCCAUUGGAUGUCAAAAUGAAGAGGACAGCAGGUGGAGUUGCCGCCCCUGCUAUUGUCACCACGCUUCCUCCUUCCUUCACUGCCCUUACCGCCCUCUCACUUUGACCUGCGUGCAUUUCAUUUAGAAUCUUAGACUCUUCAAACAAGCCUACAAAAGCUAUGUUAACUGCACCUUAAACUUUAGUAAAAACUGUAGCUAGAAGAGGAUACAGAAAUAGCUGCAAUUCCAUUUGGAAAUGUACAUGCGUCCCCUUGUGUGUUGUGUGUAGACAGAGGAAUUUAUCAAAGCUCAAAAUUAUUAAGACAAGAUCAAGAAGUUGUACGAACUCCAAAAUUGUAAGUGGAAAAACAGAGCAUAUUUCGAACGCCACAUACCAACUGCAUCAUAGACCACGUCGAAUUUCUCCGGGAGGUCUUCAAAGUUCUCUUUGGUGUAAUCAAUGGCCAAAUCAGCUCCCAAACUCUUCAACAACUCCAGCUUUCCGGUGCUAGAUGUAGCUGCCACUCUUGAUGCACCAAAGACUUCCUUGGCUAGCUGUGUUUUUUAGGACCGACAAAAGAUCAUAAAUAUAUCCAUAGGUUCAAACCAUAAGACAAUUAUAUCAUAUUAAUCGUAUUCUUAAAGUCUAAAUUGAACAAAAACUGGAGCAGAUCCCGACCCAAUAUCAGUCGACAUCAUUGUUGAAAUUAUGAGCCUUUCUUUUUCCUUUUCCAAUCAUCAGCGGAGCUUAGCAACUCAAACUGAUAUACCUGAAUCACGAGGGUACCGACACCGCCGGCGCCACCCAAAACGAGGAUGGAUUUGCCAGGCGAAAAGCGAGCCCUCUCGAGGCCUUCAUAAGCAGUUUCAAUGGCCAAGGGAAGCGAAGCGGCUUCAAUGAAGCUCAAGUUCUUGGGCUUGAGAGCCAGCAGCCUCUCUUCCACAGCAGUGUACUCAGCCAGAGUGCCAUGUUGCUUUGGAUGGUCCAAAGCUUUCUCGUUGAUGUCUCCGUACACUUCAUCCCCAACUUUGAACUUCUUCACUUGAUCCCCGACUUUCACCACCACACCGGCCACGUCGUAGCCGGGCACAAUCUUAAUGAAUAUAAAAAAAAAAGAAAUAAAGAAAAAGGAUGCAAAAAAAUAAAAAUAAAUUAUCCAACAGAAAGAAGUAAUUAGAAGCUAUCAAGAUUUUAUAUCGUCCGAUAAUGGCCAAAAAUUAAAUUUCACAAGUGGUGUUACCAUAAUUGAUGAAUAACAAAACGAGAAAUUCCAGAUCAAAAUAGGCUCGCGUUUAACAGCCAUCAGUAGUCACCAGCAAUGAACAAAAUUAAAGGGAAAAAAGAAGGAGGUAAGUACUAUGAUGUCUUACAGGCGGCGGAGAGUCGAUGUCCUUAAAGAAGCCGAGAGCUCUCUUGAAAUCAACGGGAUUUAGGGAAGCGGCAACAACCUUAACAAGGACCUGGUCUUCCUUAAUCUCAGGAACCCCAACGUCUGGAACCAGCUUCAAGACAUCGGCGGGGUUCCCACGUUCGGCAUAGACCCAAGCCUUGAUCUUCGAGGGGAUGGUGACAUCUGAGUCGGAAGCCAUUGAAUAAGCAAAAGCUAAGCUAAGCUAAGCUAAGCUAAGCUAAGCAAUUGUGUGUGAAUUGGUGGGAGAUGGAAGAACAAUAGAGUUUUGUUGAUUCUUGGUGCUUGAAGUGACCUCACCUUGUCAAUCUAUAAAAAGAGUUAAGGUAACGCGUAAAGGUAAAGGGUGGGUGAGGUUCAUUAUCGUCGUGAAAACUUGAGUUGGGUUUAAGCGCCUUGGAUUCGUCGAUGUAUAAAGAAUUGAUUGCGGUCCAAGUUCAUUGCGUUCGUUGAUGUAUAAGAAUUGAUUGUGGUCCAAGUUCAUUGUGUCUAGAUGCAAUGUUCGAGUGGACUCCAUCAUUUCAUGAUGAUAGUGGGACAUUUUUGGUAAAAUAGUAAUCUUCAUCAAUGCUUUUCAAUCAUUCAGACACUAUUAUUUUGAUUUGAUAUCAUUUUAUGAUUCAUCAGCAUAUUACUGCAACAUUAAUUGUUAUUUUGAAUAAAACGAUCUUUUAUUUAUAUCUCCAUUUGUUUCAUUGAAAAUGAACUUUGUUCGAAAAUAUUUUCGAAGGAUGUUUUUUUUUUUUUUUGGGCACUUUGCAAAUAAUAUGAAAGUUGAAAUCUCAAGUAUAACUCUAAGUUUCGGAUUCAAGCUUUGACAAUCCUGAACCCGGACUCAUCUUAGCAGGAGCCGGGCUAGAGAACCGGGUUGCCAGGUCCGGUCAUCAGGAUCUUGGGCCAGGGUGUCGGGGAUCUGGGCCUGGGAUCAGCCUCAAGGGCUCUGGGGUGGCCACUGAGGUCCCAAGCCCUGCCGCCAGGGUCAACGGCCCGGCCCCCUAGGUCUCGGUCCCGAUCAUCCGGGACCUGGGCCCGACUGGCAUUUCUCUACUGCCCAAUAAUAUGUCAUGGUCAAUCAUACAGUUGGAAGUGUUACCUACUGGAGCGCAAGUGACGGUGGCUUUGAGGAACCCAGGUGCUCUCUUCAGGUCAACAGCAUGCAAUGCAGCAGUGAGGACUUUGAUCAGCACUUGGUCUGGUUUGGGCUGUCAGGAGCAUCGAAUUCUGCCUCCAGGUUCAGUGCAACCUACGUGUUUAAUAACCUAUCAUCUCUCACUAUAAAACCCUACAACUAACUAUCCAGCAUCACACAUGAAAUCAAUUUUAAUGGCAGUGCCGCAUGGAUUCCACAUAGAUUGGCUGGUGUCGAUGCUUGGAUUGCACACUAAAAAGAGCAAGAAAGUGCAGUAUUCUCAUCUACACAGUCUAAAACUAAUAACAAGAGCAGACAAAUUGAUUUUUUUCCAUCUAAAUUUAAGCAGCUCUCUUUUCUUUCGAGCCAUCUUCCAUGCAACAGCAGUGCGGUAGAUGUGGACUUAGAGAAUGCGCGAAAGUAGACAGAGCCCAACAUAGAGAAACUACAGCAGAAUCUCAUAUCCUCGCCUUUUUUCUUUCUUGGUGCUUUGCAAGAUCAAAUAACUACUAGAGAGCACUACGGAAAGAACGCAGACGACCAGGAAACUAGAAUUAGUUAACCAAAAACGCUUCAGAGCAUCAAGACAUGAAAAGCAUGUAAUUACGGAGACCCGGAUUCACUAGACGCCAAAUUCCUCCUCCCCAAGAUUUUAUCAACGCGAAAGAACAGAGCGCACGUAGAAACAGAGCCAGCGAAAGAGAGAGAGAGAGAGAGAGAGAGAGAGAGAGAGAGAGAGAGAGAGAGAGAGAGUCACAAGAAGUCAUUGACAGUGGCAUUCGAACGAGAAGAAGUCAUUGACAGUGGCAUUCGAACGAGAGGAGCGAAUCACCAGUGACGUGCGCGCAAUGCAUAAAUCUGGAAAAGAAAGAGGACGGGCGGUGGAGGGCAAUGAAAUUGGUGACGAGAGGAGAAGGCAUAGUUGUCAGGAGAAGGCAGAGUCGUCGGUACUCGGGGUCUGAUGUGUUUGGAUGAGAGAACGUGUUUGUUUGGAGUCAAUAAAGUGUUCACGGCCAAACAAAGUUCCGACUCUAAAUCAAACCAAAACAUGUUUGUUUGCUUAUUUUAUAAUUGUUAUUUGAACAAUUUUAAGACUUGAAACAUGUACUCGACUUGUUUUGUAUACAGUUUGUAUUUGGGUCAUGUUCGGGUCGUGUUGGGUUGGGUUUUUGGACAACCAUAGUAUGAGAUUGAUCAAUGAAAUAAACCGUCGAUAUUCGCUUUAAUAUUACUAAUGAAAUGAAUAUUUCUAAUAUAAAUUUAUUGAAAAGAUAGAUGACUUGUUUUUGAUAUCACACAUAUAAUUUAUACAGCUAGCCACUAUAUAUACAUAUGUGUGGAUGUGCUCCUAGUUCUAUAUUUAGAGAGAACGCUAGGAUCUCCCUCUCUCUAAUCUCAUGGGAUCGGGUGGAUGACGAUCUUUCCGGUGACUCGGCCAGUCUGGAGAAACAAGAACGCUUCGAGAGCUUGAGAAAAUGGGAAUGUGCCUUUGGGAUCAAUCACUGGCUUUAUUUUCUGGUUCUCUAGGAAGGGAUUGAGUUUCUCCAAGACUGAGCCAUUAGAUGUCAAAAAGAAUAGGACAGCAGGUGGAGUUGCCUUCCCUGAUAUUGUCACCACGCUUCCUCCUUCCUUCACUGCCCUUACUGCCCUCUCACUUUGACCUGCAUGCAUUUCAUUUAGAAUGAUUAAACUCUUCAAAGAAGCCUACAAAACAUAUGAUAAGUGCACCUUGAACUUUAGUCAAAUACCAGCUAAAAGAGGAUAAAGAAAUAGCUGUAAUUCCACUUGGAAAGUGUAUAUGCAUCCCCUUGUUUGUUUUGUUGAGACGGGGGAAUUCAUCAAAGCUUAAGAUUAUUAAGACAAGACUAAGAAGUUGGGCGAACUCCAAACUUGUAAAUGGAAUAACAGAG
Molecule: long non-coding RNA, 4895 nt
Filed under: Eucalyptus grandis
Lineage: Eukaryota; Viridiplantae; Streptophyta; Magnoliopsida; Myrtales; Myrtaceae
Description: long non-coding RNA (EGRA_LNC005661)
Source: RNAcentral